This 113-nucleotide ribosomal RNA is filed under the name Escherichia coli. RNAcentral describes it as "partial 23S ribosomal RNA". The stretch from base 1 to 101 matches the Rfam family "Bacterial large subunit ribosomal RNA", at positions 2825 to 2925 of the family's 2925-position model. Lineage: Bacteria; Pseudomonadati; Pseudomonadota; Gammaproteobacteria; Enterobacterales; Enterobacteriaceae. The record is from RNAcentral.
CCCUGAAGGAACGUUGAAGACGACGACGUUGAUAGGCCGGGUGUGUAAGCGCAGCGAUGCGUUGAGCUAACCGGUACUAAUGAACCGUGAGGCUUAACCUUACAACGCCGAAG